Molecule: long non-coding RNA, 436 nt
Filed under: Theobroma cacao (cacao)
Lineage: Eukaryota; Viridiplantae; Streptophyta; Magnoliopsida; Malvales; Malvaceae
Description: long non-coding RNA (TCAC_LNC005422)
Source: RNAcentral
UUCAUAAACCCUUGUGCUCUUCCACUCUCUCUCUUUAAAACCCUUGAAGAAAAUCUUAUUUCCAUACUCUCUCUCUAGUUAGGUGUUUUAGAGAGAGAAAGAGGAAGCUUCAAUAAUAGCUUGAAAGUUUUUGGAAAGAAUUUCAAGCAUAAAGCUAGCAAGGUGAGUAGUGAACUAGAAUUGAUUUUUAGUGUUGAAAAUGAUUAGUGUUUAGACUUGUGGGUGUUUUGGUAGUUGAGGUUGUAAAUUCACUUUGGAGUGAUUAGGAUAGUGGAAAUGGAUAGCCAUUUAAUGGCAUUUGGAAACUAGUAGGUGAUAGCUUGUAAAACUUGUAAUUAUGAGAAUUGAGUUAAUUGUGAUGUUAAUGUGAUGAUAGGUUCCAACGAAGCCACACCGUCCCAUUUGGACCAUUAGGGAAGUUAGAGUCGACUAAAGG